AAACCAACAGGGAUUGCCUUAGUAGCGGCGAGUGAAGCGGCAAAAGCUCAAAUUUGAAAUCUAGUACUUUCAGUGCUCGAGUUGUAAUUUGAAGAAGGUAUCUUUGGACCUGGCUCUUGUCUAUGUUCCUUGGAACAGGACGUCACAGAGGGUGAGAAUCCCGUGCGAUGAGAUGCUCCAGGUCUAUGUAAAGUUCCUUCGAAGAGUCGAGUUGUUUGGGAAUGCAGCUCUAAGUGGGUGGUAAAUUCCAUCUAAAGCUAAAUAUUGGCGAGAGACCGAUAGCGAACAAGUACAGUGAUGGAAAGAUGAAAAGAACUUUGAAAAGAGAGUGAAAAAGUACGUGAAAUUGUUGAAAGGGAAGGGCUUGAGAUCAGACUUGAUAUUUUGUAUGUUAUUCUUUCGGGGGUAGCCUCUACAGUUUAUCGGGCCAGCAUCGGUUUGAACGGUAGGAUAAUGGUAAAGAAAUGUGGCAUCACUUGUGAUGUGUUAUAGUCUUUAUUGAUACUGCCAGUUUAGACCGAGGACUGCGAUUUUUAAUCUAGGAUGUUGGCAUAAUGAUCUUAAGUCGC
RNAcentral lists this ribosomal RNA (569 nucleotides) under [Candida] sp. ST-18. RNAcentral describes it as "eukaryotic LSU rRNA". It matches the Rfam family "Eukaryotic large subunit ribosomal RNA", at positions 62 to 648 of the family's 3401-position model. Lineage: Eukaryota; Fungi; Ascomycota; Saccharomycetes; Saccharomycetales. RNAcentral also lists the same sequence under 1 other name. The record is from RNAcentral.